This 455-nucleotide ribosomal RNA is filed under the name uncultured bacterium. Its description in RNAcentral is "bacterial SSU rRNA". It matches the Rfam family "Bacterial small subunit ribosomal RNA", at positions 1 to 453 of the family's 1533-position model. The record is from RNAcentral.
CCCUUAGAGUUUGAUCCUGGCUCAGGACGAACGCUGGCGGCGCGCCUAACACAUGCAAGUCGAACGAGAGAUGAGGAGCUUGCUCUUCAAAUCGAGUGGCGAACGGGUGAGUAACGCGUGAGGAACCUGCCUCAAAGAGGGGGACAACAGUUGGAAACGACUGCUAAUACCGCAUAAGCCCACGGCUCGGCAUCGAGCAGAGGGAAAAGGAGUGAUCCGCUUUGAGAUGGCCUCGCGUCCGAUUAGCUAGUUGGUGAGGUAACGGCCCACCAAGGCGACGAUCGGUAGCCGGACUGAGAGGUUGAACGGCCACAUUGGGACUGAGACACGGCCCAGACUCCUACGGGAGGCAGCAGUGGGGAAUAUUGCACAAUGGGGGAAACCCUGAUGCAGCGACGCCGCGUGGAGGAAGAAGGUCUUCGGAUUGUAAACUCCUGUUGUUGAGGAAGAUAAUG